GACGAACGCUGGCGGCGUGCUUAACACAUGCAAGUCGAACGGAAAGGCCCUGCUUUUGUGGGGUGCUCGAGUGGCGAACGGGUGAGUAACACGUGAGUAACCUGCCCUUGACUUUGGGAUAACUUCAGGAAACUGGGGCUAAUACCGGAUAGGAGCUCCUGCUGCAUGGUGGGGGUUGGAAAGUUUCGGAUGUUGGGGAUGGACUCGCGGCUUAUCAGCUUGUUGGUGGGGUAGUGGCUUACCAAGGCUUUGACGGGUAGCCGGCCUGGGAGGGUGACCGGCCACAUGGGGACUGAGAUACGGCCCAGACUCCUACGGGAGGCAGCAGUGGGGAAUAUUGCACAAUGGGCGGAAGCCUGAUGCAGCAACGCCGCGUGCGGGAUGACGGCCUUCGUGUUGUAAACCGCUUUCGCCUGUGACGAAGCGUGAGUGACGGUAAUGGGUAAAGAAGCACCGGCUAACUACGUG
RNAcentral lists this ribosomal RNA (468 nucleotides) under uncultured bacterium. Its description in RNAcentral is "partial 16S ribosomal RNA". It matches the Rfam family "Bacterial small subunit ribosomal RNA", at positions 28 to 507 of the family's 1533-position model. The record is from RNAcentral.